ACUCAAAUGAAUUGACGGGGGCCCGCACAAGCGGCGGAGCAUGUGGCUUAAUUCGACGCAACGCGAAGAACCUUACCAAGGCUUGACAUACACCGGAAAGCAUUAGAGAUAGUGCCCCCCUUGUGGUCGGUGUACAGGUGGUGCAUGGCUGUCGUCAGCUCGUGUCGUGAGAUGUUGGGUUAAGUCCCGCAACGAGCGCAACCCUUGUCCCGUGUUGCCAGCAGGCCCUUGUGGUGCUGGGGACUCACGGGAGACCGCCGGGGUCAACUCGGAGGAAGGUGGGGACGACGUCAAGUCAUCAUGCCCCUUAUGUCUUGGGCUGCACACGUGCUACAAUGGCCGGUACAAUGAGCUGCGAUACCGCGAGGUGGAGCGAAUCUCAAAAAGCCGGUCUCAGUUCGGAUUGGGGUCUGCAACUCGACCCCAUGAAGUCGGAGUCGCUAGUAAUCGCAGAUCAGCAUUGCUGCGGUGAAUACGUUCCCGGGCCUUGUACACACCGCCCGU
Molecule: ribosomal RNA, 504 nt
Filed under: uncultured bacterium
Lineage: Bacteria
Description: partial 16S ribosomal RNA
Rfam family: Bacterial small subunit ribosomal RNA
Source: RNAcentral